GUCCUACGGGUGGCUGCAGUUUCGAAUCAUUCACAAUGGGCGCAAGCCUGAUGGUGCGACGCCGCGUGGGGGAUGAAGGUCUUCGGAUUGUAAACCCCUGUCACCGGGGAAGAAACGCUUUGAGUUAAUAGUUCAAAGCCUGACUUAACCCGGAGAGGAAGCAGUGGCUAACUCUGUGCCAGCAGCCGCGGUAAUACAGAGACUGCAAGCGUUAUUCGGAUUCACUGGGCGUAAAGGGUGCGCAGGCGGCCGGGUGUGUUAGAUGUGAAAUCCCGAGGCUCAACCUCGGAACUGCGUCUAAAACUACUCGGCUAGAGUACUGGAGAGGGUAACGGAAUUCACGGUGUAGCAGUGAAAUGCGUAGAUAUCGUGAGGAACACCAGAGGCGAAGGCGGUUACCUGGACAGUUACUGACGCUCAGGCACGAAAGCGUGGGGAGCAAAAGGGAUUAGAUACCCGUGUAGUCCA
Molecule: ribosomal RNA, 468 nt
Filed under: uncultured Opitutaceae bacterium
Lineage: Bacteria; Pseudomonadati; Verrucomicrobiota; Opitutia; Opitutales; Opitutaceae
Description: bacterial SSU rRNA
Rfam family: Bacterial small subunit ribosomal RNA
Source: RNAcentral